UUGCCCAUCGGGGCUGUGGAUACCUGCUUCAGUUUUU
RNAcentral lists this non-coding RNA (37 nucleotides) under Peromyscus maniculatus bairdii (prairie deer mouse). Its description in RNAcentral is "XIST RNA A repeat (ENSPEMG00000029559.1)". It matches the Rfam family "XIST RNA A repeat". The record is from RNAcentral. Lineage: Eukaryota; Metazoa; Chordata; Mammalia; Rodentia; Cricetidae.